UUCUUCAUCCACAGUGUUAACCUUGUUAUGUUAAAUGCAGAACCUAGAAGAGCAUUGUGUGGUUGUGUUAAUUGAAGAAGCGAGAGUAGCAUUGGGUUAAGCAAGUUCAAGAGCUCGAAGUGGAAGUGUGUUUCAGUGCUGCUGGAAGAGAGAAAGCUAAGGUGUUUCAGUGCUGGUGCUACUCGAAGAGAGAAAGCUAAGGUGUUGCUAGAGUGGUGAAUUACAAGCUUAAACAUUGAAUUGCAAGCUGCUCCGUGGUGUGUUGGACCGGAGUUAUUGGUUACGGUGAAGAAGGUUGUGUGUGCAUGUUUUUGUCCACCAAGCGGG
Vigna angularis (adzuki bean) is the source of this 327-nucleotide long non-coding RNA. RefSeq lists it as uncharacterized. The transcript is spliced from 3 exons. Lineage: Eukaryota; Viridiplantae; Streptophyta; Magnoliopsida; Fabales; Fabaceae. The record is from RefSeq and is a predicted model, not a curated record.